Oncorhynchus nerka (sockeye salmon) is the source of this 1695-nucleotide long non-coding RNA. RefSeq lists it as uncharacterized. NCBI's taxonomy places the organism in Eukaryota, Metazoa, Chordata, Actinopteri, Salmoniformes, Salmonidae. The transcript has 2 exons. The record is from RefSeq and is a predicted model, not a curated record.
CUUCUAUCUCAAGGCCAUCAGACUGUUAAACAGCAAUCACUAACAUUGAGUGGCUGCUGCCAACACACUGUCAUUGACACUGACCCAACUCCAGCCACUUUAAUAAUGGGAAUUGAUGGGAAAUGAUGUAAAUAUAUCACUAGCCACUUUAAACAAUGCUACCUUAUAUAAUGUUACUUACCCUACAUUAUUCAUCUCAUAUGCAUAUGUAUAUACUGUACUCUAGAUCAUCGACUGCAUUCUUAUGUCACUAGCCACUUUAACUAUGCCACUUUGUUUACUUUGUCUACAUACUCAUCUCAUAUGUAUAUACUGUACUCGAUACCAUCUACUGUAUGCUGCUCUGUACCAUCACUCAUUCAUAUAUCCUUAUGUACAUAUUCCUUAUCCCCUUACACUGUGUAUAAGACAGUAGUUUUGGAAUUGUUAGUUAGAUUACUUGUUGGUUAUCACUGCAUUGUCGGAACUAGAAGCACAAGCAUUUCGCUACACUCGCAUUAACAUCUGCUAACCAUGUGUUUGUGACAAAUAAAAUUUGAUUGAUUUGAUUUGAGGUGGCCUUCCCUGCACCAACUGUGGUCGGAGAGGGCACACGUCUGAUCGGUGCUGGGGGGGUCCGUCUGGGAGUAGAGAUGGCAGGCGGAACGCUUCUCGGUCACCCCAGUGUGUGUUGGGGUACCAGCCGGUCCUGGCACCAUGGCAUCCGAGCCAGACCGAGGCUCCUGCGGUGGAGGAAUGGGUACAGCGCUCCAAGGAGACCUGGAGGGCCGUCCAGGAAUCUCUACGACAAGCGAGUGGACGGCUGAAGAGGAGUGCUGACCGCCACCGCAGUGAGGCCCCCGUGUUUGUACCGGGGGACAGGGUCUGGCUCUCGACCCGAAACCUACCUCUCCGCUUGCCCUGCCGGAAGCUGGGUCCGCAGUGUGUAGGGCCCUUUAAAGUCCUGAGGAGAAUAAACGAGGUGUGUUAUCGAUUACAACUCCCUUCCUAUUAUCGUAUUAACCCCUCGUUUCAUGUGUCUCUCCUCAGGCCGGUGGUAGCUGGUCCCCUGCAGGACAGUGAGGUACCGGAGGUCCCUCCCCCCCUCUGGACAUCGAGGGGACCCCGGCGUACACGAUCCGGGCCAUUCUGGACUCAAGACGCCGGGUGAGGGGCCUGCAGUACCUCGUGGACUGGGAGGGGUACGGUCCGGAGGAGAGGUGCUGGGUACCGGUGAGGGACAUCUUGGAUCCAUCCAUGUUGAGGGAUUUCCAUCGCCUCCAUCCGGAUCGCCCUGCACCUCGUCCUCCGGGGCGACCUCGAGGCCGGUGUCGGCGCGCUGCGGGAGCCACGCGUCAGAGGGGGGGUACUGUCACGAGUCCGACCGAGGGUGUUUCCCCUUCCCGGGCGGGUGGCGCUCGGCGGUCGUCAUCACCGGCCUAUUAGCUGCCACUGAUUGUUUUUUCCUCCCCCUCCUUGUAUGUUUAGUGGUAGCACCUGUUCAUGUUUAAUUAGUUUGUCUUUAUUAGACAGCCGGUCCGCCUGGUUGUUGUGCGGGAUUAUUUCUUUGUAAACCUUCGGCUCUGUUGUAGAGGUACGUGCUUAGUGCCUAGUCGUGAUUUUUUCCAUUUGUACUUUUUCCCCUGUGUUUGGGAACGUUACUUUUGUGAGCAACCUGUGGUGCGUUGGUGCUAGUAAAAGACGCACAGCAUUGAA